UUUGUUAGGGUUUUAUGUAUUGAUAAUUUUUUUGUUUAUGACUUUUCUCAUUUAAUUUACUUUAGACUUAUUGGUUUGUUUGCGGAAAUGAAAUAUUGAAACAAAAAUUGGUUCUUUUUCAACAUUUGUUGGUGAAUCUGCUAUUAUAGAAAUGAGGCAGUAAGUGUAUUAAAAUUAGUUUAGUUAAUAAAAAUUUGUUCUUGUUCGACAUUUAACCAGUAAGUCAGUUAAUGUUGGCAAUCGAAUCUGCUAUUAUUUUGUAAGUGUAUUCAGAUUUCUGCUGCUUGAAAUUUCAUAUCAAGUGUUGGUUCAUGGUUUUAGUUUCUGUGCUUUAUGAUGGUUUUAAUUUAUGUGCUUUAUGAUGUUUAAUGUUCUGGAUUUUUGUUUUUAGGUUUUAUUGUGAUGAAGAGAGAGAUAAUUUUUUGUUUGAAUUUCCCUUUAAAUUCUUCAUUAUUUUAGAUUGUAUGACAUCUUUAAUGUUGGUUGGGAUUUCAAAUUGUGUUUUUUUUUUUUUGUUUUUUUGUUUUUAUUAAAAAUGCACUAUGGAAUCAUGCAUGUACACAUAAUCGUGAGUUUUGUUGCUAAUUGGUUCUUGAGUUAUGUUUUUUGUCAAUUUAAUUAUUAGAAGAUGAGGGGAAAGGUGUAGGAAGAGGGGCAGGGGCAGGAUGGGAUUAAUAAUUUUAGUUGUUGUUGUGUAGAAAAUAUUAAAUGGAUCGAAGUUGGAUAACAACAACUAAGCCAGGUGACCCAAAAUAUCAAGCAGGUGUAAGAGAAUUUGUUAAGUUUGCAGUUAAGAAUAGUGGAGGCCGCCAUAAGCUACCAUGCCCUUAUCACAUGUGCCAUAAUUUCUUGUAUAAGAGACCCGAAGAGAUACUUAAUCACUUGGAGAAAUGGGAAUUUGAUAAAACAUAUACAUGUUGGAUUUGGCAUGAAGAAUGUAGAGAUGGAGCUUCGGUGAGUAACUUUUCAGAUAAUGCUAAUGAAGGUCAACAUACAAAUGAGGGAGAUAGAUUAGAGGAAAUGCUCCAUGUAGUACAGGAGAAUUUUGAUGAAGAUCCCAAUAAAUUUGAGAGCUUAUUAAGUGACUCUGAAAAGCCUUUGUAUGAAAGUUGCACUAAAUACACAAGGUUGUGUGCCAUACUUAAGUUGUAUAACUUGAAGGAGGGUCAUGGUUUAAGUGAUCAAAGCUUUAAUAUGAUCCUAGAAUUGGUAAAAGACAUGCUUCCAGAUGAUAAUGUCCUUCCAAGUUGUACAUAUGAGGCAAAAAAGACACUAAGUGUCAUGGGUUUACCUUAUGAGAGAAUUCAUGCUUGCCCUAACGAUUGCAUGUUGUAUUAAAACGAGAAUGAAUCGUUAGAAAGAUGCACAAUUUGUAAUGCCUCGCGAUACAAAAAGAUUGAAGGAUGAGUGCCUGCGAAGGUAUUAUGGUACUUUCCAAUAAUACCUAGGUUUAAAAGGCUAUUUUCUAAUGACGGAGAUGCUGAAUAGUUAACAUGGCAUGUCUAUGAUCGAGAGGAUGAUGGAAUGCUUAGACAUCCUGCUGAUUCCCAACAAUGGAGGUUUAUUGAUGGAGAAUUUCCAGAAUUUUCCAAAGAAAAGCGUAAUUUACGCCUUGCUUUGUCUACAGAUGGCUUCAAUUCAUUUGGAUCAUUGAGUAGCACAUAUAGUACAUGGCAUGUUAUUUUGAUUACCUACAACUUACCUCCUACACUUUGCAUGAAAAGAAGGUAUAUGAUGUUAUCACUGCUAAUUUCUUGUCCAAGGCAGCCUGGUAAUGAUAUUGAUGUGUAUCUGGCUCCACUAAUUGAUGAUUUAAAGUUGUUGUGGGAAACAGGUGUAGAGGUGUUCGAUGCACAUCGUAACGAGAAUUUCAAUUUGAAAGCAUUGUUGUUUUGUACUAUUCAAGAUUUUCCAGCAUAUGGUAAUCUAUCAGGAUACACAGUUUACGGGAAAACUGCUUGUCCUGUAGGGUUUUCCAGGAAGGUGGUUGAGUGCAUUUAAGAAGAAUGUUUUUUAUGGGAAUCGUAUAUUUUUUGCCAUGUACUCAUCACUAUCGCAACUUGAAAAAGGCCUUCAAUGGACAUCAAGAGUUUAGGGUGCGCCCUAAGAUACUAUCUGGAGUAGAGGUGUUUGAAAAGAUCAAAGAUCUCAAGAUCACAUAUGGUAAGAAGCAUAAAAAACCUCUUCCUCAGCAAGGAUUCAAAAAGUGUUCAAUAAUGUGGAGUUUACCAUAGUGGAAAUUCCUUUUUGUGAGACAUACGCUUGAUGUGAUGCAUAUUGAGAAAAAUGUGUGUAAUAGUGUUAUUGGUACACUAUUGAAUAUUAGUAGAAAGACCAAAGAUGGGGAGAAAGAUAGAGAUGACUUAAAGGAAAUGGGGAGAUGACUUAAAGGAAAUGGUUGAGAAUGGUCGAAAGUACUUGCCACCGGCUGCUUAUACACUCUCUAGAAAAGAGAAAAUCGAGUUAUAUCAGAGCUUGGCCGGAGUGAAAGUGCCGGAAGGUUAUUCUUCUAACAUUUGCAACCUGGUAAACAUGGAAAGUUUGAAACUUAUGGGCCUUAAGUCUCAUGAUUGUCAUGUUUUGAUGCAAAAUUUGUUGCCCGUAUCUAUUCGUUCAAUAUUGCCUAAAAAUGUUCGAUAUGCCAUUACUAGACUUUGUUUGUUUUUUAAUGCAGUCUAUAUAGUAAAGUCAUUGAUCCCGAACAUUUGAGUGCUUUGGAGGAAGAAAUUGUUAUAAUUUUAUGUCAAUUAGAGAUGUACUUUCCUCCAUCUUUUUUUGAUAUCAUGGUUCAUUUGACGGUUCACUUUGUAAGAGAGAUAAGAUUUUGUGGUCCAAUAUAUUUGAGAGUUCAAUGGGCUUUUGAAAGGCAAAUGAGAAAAUAUCAAGGGUAUGUGAAGAAUGCUUAUCAACCUGAAGGUUGUAUUGCUGAGCAACUUUUCUAUGACGAAGUACUACAAUAUGCUGGUGAUUUUAUGAUAAAUUCAAUGAGAAUAAGGAUUCCUACAUCCCGUCAUAGUGGACGAAUGGAUGGUGUGGGAACCUUAGGUCGUAAGCAACGUGAUAUGUCUUGUGACAACUGGCACAAGGCACACUCAUACAUUCUGCAUAAUGAGGAUGAAGUUGCACCCUAUGUUGAAAGACAUAUGAGACACUUGAGAAAGUACAAUCAAAGAGCAUGCGAAAAGGCAUUAGCUGACAAUCAUAGCAAAUCAUUCAUUUCUUGGUUCAAAGAUGAAGCAAUGAGGGAACUCGAUGACUCUUCAAUAGUAAUCUCAGAUUGAGUCAAGAGUUUAGCAUAUGGACCUGACUUUAGUGCAACAUACUAUUCAGGAUAUGUUAUAAAUAGUUGCACUUUUUACACAAAGUUCCAAGAUGAACACAACAUUAUGCAAAACAGUAGGGUCACUUUAGAGGCUCAAGCUAUUCACUUUUCUAGUGCAAAAGAUAAGAAUCCCGUGUGUGGUACUAUGAGAUACUAUGUAGUCAUUGAAGAGAUUUGUGAGUUGCAUUACACCAUGUUUUCGAUUCCUCUUUUCAAAUGCCAAUGGGUUGACAACAUUAACGGUGUUGAAGAAAGUAACAUGGGACUUAUUUUGGUCAAUCUUAACAAGGUUGGUCACAAAGAGGAUCCUUUUAUUUUAUCUACCCAAGCAAAAUAAAUUUUUUAUAUGACUGACCCCUUAGAUAAGCGAGGGUCAGUUAUCAUAACACCAAGGCCUCGACACUCCACUGAUGAUUGUACUUUUUAUAGUGUGUCGGAGUCUCCUUCUUUGACAAGAAAAGUAGUGGACGAUAAUGUUGAUGACUCUUCAAUAUAUGUGAGAGAUGAUCAUAAUGAGGCUACAUGGGUUGAAGAUACAAAGAAGCGAAAAAAUGUCAAGCGAAAGCGAUCUCGUAACAAAUGUAAUUUUUUUUUUUUUUAUAAAGUACUAACUUUUUUUUAUUAUUAUUGGUUUUUCCUUAGGAUGUCCUACUUAAAAUUUUGGUUUUGUUAUUACAAUUAUUUUUGCAUUUAACUAACCAAUUAAAUUUAUUUUUCUGAUUUUUUUAUAAGUUGAUGGCUAGAAAGAGAAAACGUGUACGCCCAUCCAAUGAAGGUGACACACUACAUCCGAAGGAUUCUGAGAAAAUAAGGCGUAAGGAUGAGAGGGGUCGUACUGUACUUGCUAUGGUGGGGAAGGCGAUCCAAGCAGGCACCAAGAUUCGUUUAGAAUGGCAUCCUAUUAAAAGAAUUCCAGUAGGAGAGCACAAGUCUCAUUUCUCCACCUACAUUGGUGUUGUUGCCCGUGAAAGAGUAACGAUUACUUAUAAGGAGUGGUCUGACCUUCCAAAUGGAGUCUUAGACGAAUUCUACAAUGAUAUCACAAAGGGAUUUUAUGUCAUCAAGAAUCGCAGAAAUUGGAUACUGACACAAGCUUCUAAGCGAUGGAAAGCUUUCAAGACUAGGCUAAGACUUGAAUGGAUGUAUCUAAAAGAUGGAGCUGUCAGACAACAACCCCCAUGGAAAUACCUUUAAUAAAAGAUACAGAUUGGAAGAUCUUCGUUAAAUAUUGUACUUCAAAGGAGUUUCAGGAAUUGAGUGAAAAAAAUCGUGUGAGGGCAAAGAAGAAGACCUUAAAGUAUCGAGGAGGCCAACUUUGGUAUCAAUAUUUUGAAGAAUGAAUAGAAAAAGAACUUGAAAAACAGGGAGUCCAUGUGUCACAAGUGCCUCGACACUUGACUUGGAUCAAAGCUCACUCUCAGGUCAAAGAUGGAAUCAUUUUUUUUGAUAAUCUAGUGGAUAGGGAUAUCCAUGAAGCUAUAUGGAGGCUCAAGCUCAAAGAGGAGAAUUCGUGUGCAAUGGUCGGGAUGACAUAUUAGCAAGAGCAUUGAAUACGCGUGAGCUUGGUGGUUCAGUGAGGGCAGUUGGAUCAGGUAUCACAAAUAAGGAAUAUUUUUGCUUUAACAAACCAACUGCACCAAGCCAAUUGUAUGCAAAAAUCGGCAUGAUGCAAUCAGAGAUGGGAACUAUGAAAAAUAAUCAGAAUUUAUUAUUGUCUUUCAUCAUGUCAUGCUUAAAUCAGGAGCAAUUGAAAUCGUUCAUGGCCAUCUUUGGUCAAUCAAAUGCUUUUGGUCAAUUUGGCAGUUUGGGUGGACUGGUUGGCCUAUUUGGCAAAGGUGGUAGUCAGCCUGCUACUGGUGGUCAGUCUAGUUCUGGUGGUCAGUCUUGUCAUGAUCAACAGGUUGGUUCUUCUGGUCAGACUAGUUUUGGUGGUCAGAGUGGUUUUGGUUUUGGUGGUCAAGCUGAAUUCGGUGGUUUUGAUGGUCUUGAUGGUAAUAGGUUAGGUUUUACCCAAUUAAAUAAUUUUGUUGACCAUGGAAUGCUUAACAUUCCACUUACACAACAGCUAACUAGAGGGGUUGAGCGACAACAAAGUGAAGGUCAUCAAUUGUUGGAGUCUCAAUUUCAGGAUGCUGCUAAUGUUUCACGUGGUCAUGAGGCUCACAUAAGUCCUCCCGUGCAACACGAUCAUCUUCAAAGCUCUGAGGCUGAGAUGUACCAUGUUUCUUGGCCUCCAACAGAGCAAAUUAAUCAACCUGACCAUGCACUUUUGAAUAUUCAUGAUGAUAUCUCAAUUUAUCUUGGCCUCAAAUAAAGCAAUAUCACUUUUCCUGAGGGCUGGAGUGAUUGUCAACUGGCCAUUGAGGACGGCGAUAAAGGACAUGUAAUUGGUUCUAAAGGGAAAGUUUAUCAAGAGAAGGCAGAAGAAAUCAUCAAAAAUCAUGUCUGAUCGCUACCCCCUGGUCACCGCCAAGUCUCUAUUGUAGAAGAUUUUGUGCCGAAUGCUCCCUUGCCAUGUCCAAAUGAAGAAUUAAUCUUUGUUUGCCAAGCUAAGAAGAGUUACACUUCUUAGCCAGUUCACUUGAUUCUUCCAGUUAAGGAUGAUGUGCACCUGGAAAAAGACGUGACUACUCCAUCCCCAAGAUCGGCAUCAUCCCAAACAUCAACCACUGGCAUGCAUCUUUUCGGAGCUGAAGAUUGUGAAAAAGUGACUACUAAUUGGUUACAGUCGUUAAAAACUCAUGCUUUGGGAAUGAAAAAGAGUAGUGAAUCCAUCUCCUUAAGUUUCUAGAAAACUGUAUUUCUGACUGAACAUGUGGUUAAUGUUAUUCUUGACUACAAAGAUUUGCUUAAUUGGUGUUUCCCAAAAGAGAUCGGAGCGGCUCACUUGAAUAUUUUCAUGAAGUACUUAAAAGAGCAAUGUCAAGAAGAAGGAAUUUCGGGUAUGUUUGGAUUUUGCGAUUCCAAUGUUCUAUCCCCAAUGAAUCCAACAAUAGAAGAGGAAAACCCGUCUACAUACUUAGCUCGUGUGUUUGGGUGCAAUGAGGGAAAGGAUCGUAAUCAAUUAUUCUUUGCACCUUAUAAUGAAAAUCGGAAUUGGAUGUUAGUUGUGAUUAGCCCUUGGAAUGGGAUAUCUAUUGGUUGGACCCAGGUGGAGCAGACAGCAUACCUGAGUUUGCUAAAAUAGUCAUCAAAGAGGGAAUCAAACAAUUUAGCGCUGUCCAUCGCAAGGAUAUCAAGAAAAUAAAAAAGGAUGCAUAUAUUGGGUGGAAGCAACCAAAGUGUCCUAGCCAUCCUAAACACAAGAAGAACUAUGGAUACUUUUUGUGCCGGUACAUGCUCGAGAUUUUAGAAAAAAGGGUGUUAUGGAUUACUGACAAGGGCAGCAGCCGCCUAGCCUUGGCAGGGCAGCAGCAACCGCCUAGCCUUGGCAGGGCAGCAGCAGCCGCCUUGCCUUGGCAGGGCAGCAGCAGCCGCCUUGCCAUGGCAGGGCAGCAGCAUGUCACGGGUCACUCCCACACCAAGGAUGGGCGUCAAGAGGGUCACUAGGCAGCAAGGCAACAAUCGGGGCUAGGGGGCUUGCCUUGGUGCUCAGGUAAGCACUUCCCCCUAAAGAGCUUUAUAUUGCACCUUGCUUAAAAUCCUAGUGAAUACCCACUUGACAGUAACACAAUAAUGGGUCGUUUGGAGACCCAAAUGAAGUCCAAAUGGGCCCAAAUUUGGGGGUCCACCGUAUUUUGGGCCAAGGAAGACGAUGGUGGUGUCAGUUUUCCGAGACAAGGUCCCGAAAUACAAGUUUGUGCAGCAGGUAGCCCGGGAAACGUGGGAAGCUUCUAGAAGGUUCCGGAGCUAUCUACGGAGUUCUUUUGGAGGAGUAUUCUAGAGAGGAUGUCUCUAGAAUAUUCAAGGUUCAUCCAGUGCAUCUUAGAAGUCUCUAGGGCCUUCUAUGUAUGUACAUUUUGAAUGUAAAGUUCUAGAAUGUUCUAGGUUAGUCCUUAGCAUUCUAGGUAGGAAGCUUGUAGAAACCUCCAUGUAUGUAGUUCCUAAGGAGGUGGGAAAACUCUAGAUCCUUGUAGUCUAGAACCCUCCAUUUGAGGAGGUUAGGAACAUUCUAGAGAAAGAGAGUAAGUAGGGUGGAGCACUAUAAAUAGGCUCCAAGGCAUCAUUUGUACAUUCAAGUUGAGAGCAAUACAAAAAGCCUUUCUUAAGCACUUGUGUUCUCUUGCAACUCAAUCCUUUCCUUCCAACACUUAGAGAGUGUGAGGAAAACUAAGGCACGAGGGUGCCAAGUGAGUGAUCGGGCAUACGAGCAAGGGUGAUAGCUUGGGUGCUCAAUUGUCUACGACACUUAGUCGUAAAUUCGGACUAAGGCACUAAGGGUGAGUGCUUAGUUCAACCAAAGGGGACUUGUUAGCGCAAAGGGAUCGUGCUAGCAAACUUAUACUAGCAGCACAAGGAGUUGUGCUACGUGGGCACAAGGAGUAAGUGCCAAGGAGAAAGCCUGACUCGUCUUACGACGGACUGUAAGCGGGUGGCGCACGGUGCGUGACUAGGGCAAAGUAGUCGGCACGUGACAAGCAGCCGCCUUGCCUUGGCAGGGCAGCAGCAGCAUCACGAAAUGUGAUAUUAUACUAAUGUGAUAUUGACAAGAAAUGUGAUAUUGUACUAAUGCAAUCGCAUCACGAAAGUGUGUGUUAUGCUUUGGAAAUGUUCAUUGUCACCCAAUACUAAACCCCAAGUGGUAAUGAAAAUUUACAAAGAAAAAAGAUUAUUUGGAGUGAAAUUAUGUUGUAAUUGUAUUGACGUUAAUAUAUGCUCAUUAUCACUAUUUACUACCACUUACGGAAUGGGAAUUGUGUCAUGAUAUAGAUCAUUUGAGUUGUUUUAGUUUUUGGGGAAGUGUGGGGACUGUGGAACUAAGUUAAAAUUCUAUCAAUGUAGAAAAAUAUGUUGGAAAAGUGUUAUCCUCGUAGAAUUUUGCAUAGUUUAUUGCCAUAUUGGGUAAUUUAUUUCCUUCAUUCAAACAGGACGUUGAGUAAAAAAUUGUGAUUAAUUUAGAAUGUGAGGCAGGGCAACCUUGCCUUGCCUUGGCAGGGUAGGGCAGCAGCCUUGGCAGGGCAGCUGCACCCUUGCCUUGGCAGGGCGGCAGCCUUGCCUUGCCAUGCCUUGGCAGGGCGGCAGCCUUGCCUUGCCAUGCCUUGGCAGGGCAGUAGCUACAGCCUUGCCUUGGCAGGCAGGGCACCUGCUGCCUUGCCCGGCAGCGCACCAGCUGCACCAACACCCCCUACGCACACUCCCCUACCCUGCACACCCCCUGCCCUGAAAACACCGCCUGUCCUGACUUGCCCUUGCCUGAAAUCAGUCCUGAAAUACAGAUCUAAAUUCAGUUCAAAAUUUAGUUUUGAAAUUCAGUUCUGAAUUUAGUUCUGAAAUUAAGUUCUGAAAAUAAGUUCUGAAAUUCAAUUUUGGUUUCGUUUUGAAAUUCAGUUUUGAUCUUUGGUUCACAUAUUCAAUUUAGUUCUGAAAUUCAGUUUUGAGCUUUGGAUCUGAAAUUCAGUUUUGAGCUUUGGUUCACUACUUCCAUGAACCUAUUUAAUUCUUUUU
This is a long non-coding RNA of Chenopodium quinoa (quinoa), 8926 nucleotides long. RefSeq lists it as uncharacterized. The transcript is spliced from 12 exons. The record is from RefSeq and is a predicted model, not a curated record. NCBI's taxonomy places the organism in Eukaryota, Viridiplantae, Streptophyta, Magnoliopsida, Caryophyllales, Amaranthaceae.